CCUACGGGUGGCAGCAGUGAGGAAUAUUGGUCAAUGGGCGCGAGCCUGAACCAGCCAAGUAGCGUGAAGGAUGACUGCCCUACGGGUUGUAAACUUCUUUUAUAAAGGAAUAAAGUGAGGCACGUGUGCCUUUUUGUAUGUACUUUAUGAAUAAGGAGCGGCUAACUCCGUGCCAGCAGCCGCGGGAAUACGGAGGAUGCGAGCGUUAUCAGGAUUUAUUGGGUUGUAAGGGCGAGGAGAUGGGUUGUUAGGUCAGUUGUGAAAGUUUGCGGCUCAACCGUAAAAUUGCAAUUGAUACUGGCAGCCUUGAGUACAGUUGAGGUAGGCGGAAUUCGGGGUGUAGCGGUGAAAUGCUUAGAUAUCACGAAGAACUCCGAUUGCGAAGGCAGCUUACUAAACUGCCACUGACAUUGAUGCUCGAAAGUGUGGGUAUCAAACAGGAUUAGAUACCCCGGUAGUC
This 460-nucleotide ribosomal RNA is filed under the name uncultured bacterium. RNAcentral's name for it is "partial 16S ribosomal RNA". It matches the Rfam family "Bacterial small subunit ribosomal RNA", at positions 338 to 795 of the family's 1533-position model. The record is from RNAcentral.